CACUUAUUUGAAAGGAUUUGAAAACCCAUGAUGGAUUAUUUGUUGAGCCCAUAGACAUAAAGAACCUAUAGACGGACAACAGGGGGCGCAAGACCGUAAUUUCAGUGAAGCCGCCAUUUUUAAAAACCAUGGGCAAACUUGUUCGGCACGUCACACAUAAAGCGCACACAAUACGCGGCUGUCUGGUGAGGUCCUCCAAGCAGAACGUCACAGUGAAGGAAUCUAAAGUGAUGCACAAACAAUGCCUCGAACCUGUGUAGCAUGGGGGUGUAAACAGCAAUAUUCACAAGAAUCAAAAGCGAAUGGAAUUACAUUCCACUAUAUUCCGAAGGACCUCACCAGACGACGCCAGUGGCUUCAUAACAUGCGUUGGGAUGGCUACGAUCCAGCAAGGCAAGAUGGAGAGAUAAGUGAACAACUGGAGAGAUAAGUGCGAAUCUCUGCAAGCCAAGAUCAAUGCACUCCGAGUCAAAAACUGUCGAAAAUCCCUCGCAAACUCAGCACUCCGAGGGCUUCUGACAGACAUAAAGCGCAAGGAGCUGCUAAGCGAAGAAGAUGCCUUGGCAUUGGAAGAGCACUUUGAAGGUUCAAAGCUGACUCUGGUGAAAUCUCUGAUGAGCAAAGGCAAGCAUGUGACAGAAUACGAGAAGGAGGUACGUCAGUUUGCAACAACACUGUACUUCUACUCUCCAAGAGCCUACACAUAUGUACGGAGGCUCUUCCAGCUGCCAUCUGUGAGUACACUGCGAUCUUGGGUCACAAACAUCCAUGCUCUCCCAGGCUUUUCACAACAUGCUCUCAAC
This is a long non-coding RNA of Patiria miniata (bat star), 803 nucleotides long. RefSeq lists it as uncharacterized. The record is from RefSeq and is a predicted model, not a curated record. NCBI's taxonomy places the organism in Eukaryota, Metazoa, Echinodermata, Asteroidea, Valvatida, Asterinidae. The transcript is spliced from 3 exons.